GACAGCCUAAGCCACAUGUUCCAUUAAUUUUUGUUGAUAACAUCAUAUAAUGAAUUAAUAUGAAACAAAAUGAUCCAAGCUUUCAAAGUAAAUCUUUGACAUGAACUUAAUUGUAUAUGGUUCUGAACUUUCAUGCAUCCUGGAAAUGUUAAUGGCCUUAACCAGAAAAUAUGAGGAUAUGGACAAGGGAGAUUGUGUAUAAAUUUAGAAGUCAUGCCUCUAGUCUUUUAAAGCUCAGGCAUUUGUGGAGGAUGGAUGUGGACUUUUUUUU
Molecule: unclassified non-coding RNA, 271 nt
Filed under: Hevea brasiliensis (rubber tree)
Lineage: Eukaryota; Viridiplantae; Streptophyta; Magnoliopsida; Malpighiales; Euphorbiaceae
Source: RNAcentral